This 938-nucleotide ribosomal RNA is filed under the name uncultured bacterium. Its description in RNAcentral is "bacterial SSU rRNA". It matches the Rfam family "Bacterial small subunit ribosomal RNA", at positions 1 to 916 of the family's 1533-position model. The record is from RNAcentral.
CCUUAGAGUUUGAUCCUGGCUCAGAGCGAACGCUGGCGGCGUACUUAACACAUGCAAGUCGAACGAGAAUCGCCUGUGUAGCAAUACACAGGUGGUUCUAGUGGCGCACGGGUGAGUAACACGUGGGCAACCUGCCCUCGAGUCCGGGAUACCCUCUCGAAAGGGAGGCUAAUACUGGAUACGUUCCUCGGGUCGCGAGAUCUGAGGAGGAAAGGCGGCGAAAGCUGCCGCUCUUGGAGGGGCUCGCGGCCUAUCAGCUAGUUGGUGAGGUAACGGCUCACCAAGGCGAUGACGGGUAGCUGGUCUGAGAGGACGACCAGCCACACGGGAACUGAGACACGGUCCCGACUCCUACGGGAGGCAGCAGUGGGGAAUUUUCCGCAAUGGGCGAAAGCCUGACGGAGUGACGCCGCGUGGGGGACGAAGGCCUUCGGGUCGUAAACCCCUGUCAGAGGGAAAGAAGGGUCGCCGACCUAACACGUCGGUGAUCUGACGGUACCUUCAGAGGAAGCCCCGGCCAACUCUGUGCCAGCAGCCGCGGUAAGACAGAGGGGGCAAGCGUUGCUCGGAAUCACUGGGCGUAAAGGGCGCGUAGGCGGGAUGGCAAGUCAGUCGUGAAAUCUCUCGGCUCAACCGAGAAACGUCGGCUGAUACUGCCGUUCUUGAGGGAUGCAGAGGAGACUGGAAUUCCCGGUGUAGCGGUGAAAUGUGUAGAGAUCGGGAGGAACACCGGUGGCGAAGGCGGGUCUCUGGGCAUUUCCUGACGCUGAGGCGCGAAAGCGUGGGGAGCAAACGGGAUUAGAUACCCCGGUAGUCCACGCUGUAAACGAUGACGACUAGGUGUGGGGUGGGUUAGUCCAUUCCGUGCCGCAGCUAACGCAUUAAGUCGUCCGCCUGGGGAGUACGGCCGCAAGGUUGAAACUCAAAGGAAUUGACGG